Molecule: ribosomal RNA, 425 nt
Filed under: uncultured bacterium
Lineage: Bacteria
Description: partial 16S ribosomal RNA
Rfam family: Bacterial small subunit ribosomal RNA
Source: RNAcentral
GUAGGGAAUCUUGCGCAAUGGGCGAAAGCCUGACGCAGCCAUGCCGCGUGAAUGAUGAAGGUCUUAGGAUUGUAAAAUUCUUUCACCGGGGACGAUAAUGACGGUACCCGGAGAAGAAGCCCCGGCUAACUUCGUGCCAGCAGCCGCGGUAAUACGAAGGGGGCUAGCGUUGCUCGGAAUUACUGGGCGUAAAGGGAGCGUAGGCGGAUAGUUUAGUCAGAGGUGAAAGCCCAGGGCUCAACCUUGGAAUUGCCUUUGAUACUUGCUAUCUUGAGUAUGGAAGAGGUAUGUGGAACUCCGAGUGUAGAGGUGAAAUUCGUAGAUAUUCGGAAGAACACCAGUGGCGAAGGCGACAUACUGGUCCAUUACUGACGCUGAGGCUCGAAAGCGUGGGGAGCAAACAGGAUUAGAAACCCGUGUAGUCC